RNAcentral lists this long non-coding RNA (4047 nucleotides) under Callithrix jacchus (white-tufted-ear marmoset). RNAcentral describes it as "lncRNA (ENSCJAG00000081852.1)". Lineage: Eukaryota; Metazoa; Chordata; Mammalia; Primates; Cebidae. The record is from RNAcentral.
AUGAGCGUCUGCUCUGAUUGUGGAACUAGUAAAAACUGCCUGCCAAGCUUGAAAAACACUCAGUCAAAAUGUUUUUUAAAUUUUGUAGAGCUGCAAGGCGAACAAGGAAGAAUGAAAGACGGAGCUAAAAAGAUCGACAUGCGGAGAGCAGUAGCUGGUUGGAGCAGCUGGAACAGACUGAAGCAUUCCAGGCAGAACUGCAAGUGAACGACGGGGAAAUACAUCACCGUGGGAGAGAGCGGGACUAGUUCAUCUCCAUCUUCAACCCAGCAACACUCUUCUUUCAUGGGAGGGAAAGGAUAGCCACGUGAAAAUCGACAGAUGGGCUUGGAUUCUAGCAGCAGGAAGGUGGGUCUCCUAAGUUUUCACUUUCCUUUCACUCAGAUUUAUUUUCACAUCUGAGAGCCAUUUAACUUGACUGCAGUUAAGCUAAUUUCAAAUUAUAGACAUGAGCAGGGUCUGGCUUGUUUUCAACUAAAUAGGAGACCCGAUUGCAAGAAGCAUUGUGGGCAUCUGGUUGUGUGACUGAUCUUCCUCAGUAAACGCGGAAAAACCAUAGCAACCGUCAGCACGCAGUGAAACACAGCAUCACCAAGUAGCUGGGCCAGUUGGUGGAAAGGCCCUGUGUGGGGCUCAGGGCCCUGGAAGGGUGCACGGGGGAGGCGGGAGGGAGCAGCCAGUGUCCUCCAGCCUUUGUCAGCUGGGGCAAUGUAUUCGUUUCCAAGGCUGCGUAGCAGAUGCCACCAGAUUAGCAACUGAAAUCAGCCAAUCACAGGCUCCAAGUAUGCAGCUCGGAGGCUCAAGCAGGCUCAUCUGGGUUCUCCACUCUGGAUCUCACAAACGUCAAUCUAGGUGUCCCCAGGACUGGGCUCCGACCUGGCAGCUCUGAGCAGAACCUGCUUCUGAGCCUGUUCACGCCGGUGGCCGAUUUUCAUUCCUUGCAGUUGCAGAAUAGAGACCAUGCUUCCUUGUGGGCCGUCAGCCAGGGGCUGCUGUCAGCUUCUAGACGUCACCCACGUUCCUUGAUAUGUCCCACCCUCCCCUCAACCCCCCACCAAAUCCUCAAGCGGUGAUGGUGACUCCCUCCCAUGCUUGGGCUCUUACUUUCUCUUCUGCUACCAGCUGGAGAAGGUUUUCUGUUUUCAAAGGGCUUACCUGAUUGGGUCAGGCCCACCUACCUACAUCCCACAUCAGAUGGUAAGUUCAACUGACGUGGAAUGAUAAUUACAUCCGGGGAAUCCUUUGUGGCAGUCUCAAAUUAGUGUCUGAUUGAAUAACCAGGGAUGGAAUCGUAGGGGUCAUCUUUAGAAUUACACUCAUUAGAGAGACUUCAGACAGCCCCUAGGAGGCUAUGAUUAACACAAAAGGGUAAAAAACUGAGGACUACAAUUUACACACUCGUCAUUUCCCUUCCAGGGAACCAAGGAAGCCGUCCUGAGGGAGGAGGCUCUGAGGUGGGCCUGGAAGAACUAGGGGGCCUUGAGGCGCAGGUGAGGAAAGGGGCAGGUGUGUCAGAUGAGAGGAGCGAAAGGAAGUGUUGAGGCCAGGGAGCGCUGCGCGUGGUGGCCCGUGGCCUAGAACGGUUGAUAGGCCUGUGAGGGAGCAGACUCAGCCUGGAGUAAGGCCAACUGGGGGAAGAGGUGAGCAGGUAAGCGUCCCUUAAGUGAUAUGAAUAAUGUUUCCUCUAGGACUUGCCGUGUGAAGGUUCCGCCGCCCUUGCCCCAACACUGCGCUUCUACGAACAGAACGAGGCAGGAGCUUCCAGAGGUCCUCGGGGGCGGCUUUGUGGCUGGGCUGGAGUGUUACCGUGCGCUUUCCCUGUUUAGUCUGCUCGGGUUCGGGCUACCCUAAGAAAGGAAUGCACACCGGGGGCUUAUGACAUGCGUAUUCUCUCGGGGGAGAGCGCAGGGCUGACAUCAAGGGUGGUUCCUUCUGGGGGCUGUGAGGGAGAAGCUGCCUCAGGGCUCUGCCCCGGCUUCUGGAGUUCGCUGCUCGCUCUGGUGCUCCUUGGCUUGUAGAGGUGUCGUCCCGAUCUCUGCCUUCAUCUUUAUGUGACCUCUGUCCCUGAAUCUUUCCUGCUUUUUUGUUUUCCUUGAGACAGAGUCUUUGUCACCCAGGCUGGGGGGCAGUGACAGGAUCUCAGCUCACUGCAGCCUCCGCCUCCCAGGUUCAAGCAAUUCUCUGCCUCAGCCUCCUGAGCAGCUGGGACUAUAGGUGCACCUCCACGCCCAGCUACUUUGUGUAUUUUUAGUAGAGAUGGGGUUUUGCUGUCUUGGCCAGGCGGGUCUUGAGCUCCUGACCCCGUGAUCCACCCGCCUCGCCUUCCCAAAGUGCUGGGAUUACAGGCGUGAGCCACCGCGCCCGGCCAGUCUUGUCUUUUUAUAGAGAUGUCAGUCACAUGAUUAGGAGCCAUCUGCCCCAGUAUGACCUCACCUGAACAAAUGACAUUUGUGAUGGCCCUAUUUCCAAGUGAGGCCACAUUUGAGAUCCUGGAGUUUAAGACUUCAACGUGUGACUUUGUGGAGGACACAGUUCCACCCACAGCAGUCUUCUGUGCUCUGCUCUAGAGACAGCCCCCAUCGUUUGAAGGUAAGGGUCAGAUAACCUAUAAGGAGUAAUGCUUCCUCACUAUAAAUCAGUUACAAACAAUGUGAGCCAAAGUCUAGGGAGGGAGAGCCUGACGUCUUGCUUUUCAAAGUGUGGUCCUCAGACAAGCGGCUUCAGAUCACCUGGCAGCUUGUUGGAAAUGCAGAGUCUCAGGCCCCACACCACGCCCACGGAGUCUGACUCUUCAUUUUAACAAAAUCCUUGGAAAGAAAUUUUUUUUGUGCAUAAAAAUUUGAAAGGCAGUAUUUAAUAUACUUCGUCAGAAAUGGUUAGAAAAUUCUUCAGGGCAAAACCAUAAUGUCAACCUCACACCACCAUUUAAAGAAAUUAAAAAUAAGUUUUUGAACUAGUACAGCCACUCUAGAGAACAGUAUGGAGGUUCCUCAAAACACCACAAAUAGAACUACCAUAUGACCCAGCAAUCCCACUGCUGGGCAUUUCUCCAAAGGAAGGGAAAUGAGGAUACGGAAGAGACAUCUGCACCCGUGUUUGUCUCAGCACUGUUCACCACGGCCAAGGUGUAGAGUCGUCCCAGGUGUCCGAACACAGAUGAGCGGGUAACGAAAGUGGGGCAUAUGCAUUAUGAAAUACUACUCAGCCAUAAAAAAGAAAAGAGCCCUGUCAUCUGCAGCAACAGGACAGGGCUGGAGGACAUGAUGUGAGGCGAACUACGCCGGGAACAGAAACUGAAGCCUCGCUCGUUCUCACUCAUCUGUGGAAGCUAAAAAAAGUUGAUCUCAUAGAAGGAAGGAAAAAGUAGAACAGAGAUACUGCAGGCUGUGAAGGAUAGGGAAGGGGGAGAGGAAGAGACUUGCUAAAGGGCGCACGUCUCCGGCUGGUUGGAAGGAAUCGGCUCCAGGGCUCUACAGCACUACGGGUUGACCAUGAUUCACAAUAAUACGUUACAGGAGGGGGAUGUUGAGUGCUCCCAAUGGAAGUGCCAAUCCUCAUCUGAUCACCGUACAUAAUAUGUGUUGAAACAUUGCCAUGUACCCCAUAAAUACGGAAUGCAGACCGAGUUCCACGUUGUAUAAUAUGUGUAAUUAUUAUAUGUCAAUAAUUUUUUGUUUUAAAUAUUUUUUUUUGAGACAGAGUCUUGCUCUGUCACUCAGGCUGGAGUGCAGUGACAUGAUCUCUGCUCAUGGCAACCUCCGCCUCCCAGGUUCAAGCAAUUCUCUGCCUCAGCCUCCCUAGUAGCUGGGAUUACAGGCACCUGCCACCACACCUGGCUGAUUUUUAUGUUUUUUGGUAGAGAAGAGGUUUCACCGUCUUGGCCAGGCUGGUCUUGAACUCCUGACCUCAUGAUCCACCCACCUCAGCCUCCCAAAGUGCUGGGAUUACAGGCAUGAGCCACUGUGCCUGGUCAAUAACUUUUUAUAACUAAAAAAUGAAAAGAAAAAUAAUUUAACAAGGUUUUGGAACAGGUGGCUCAAAAACUUC